CACCCCUCAAGCCUGGCUUGGUGUUGGGCGACGUCCUCUUUGGGGACGCGCCUCAAAACGCUCGGCGGCGUGGCACCGGCUUUAAGCGUAGCAGAAUCUUAUCUUUCGCUUUGAAAGUCGGGGCCACAUCUGCCGGAAGACCUACUCGCAA
Molecule: unclassified non-coding RNA, 151 nt
Filed under: uncultured Cenococcum
Lineage: Eukaryota; Fungi; Ascomycota; Dothideomycetes; Gloniales; Gloniaceae
Description: sequence contains ITS2
Source: RNAcentral